UAACAAACUGAUCUUGAGCUCUUCUUUCUAGCUUGCUGGGACAUGGUAUUCCAAUUCAUUUGUCUUGAGAAACCAUGAGCCGGUGGACGUAACCUCCAUUGAUGAGGUAGUGGAGCCUUCUGACGCAGGAGAUUUGCUUCUCAAGAUACGCUUCAUUUUCGAAGGAGCAUGUCAAGAGACUGAUCUUAACAUAGUGCACACAGACCAGCCUGGUGUAUUCACAGUCCCUGAUUCCCCUGAAAUCGUACAUAUGGUGGAUGUAGAUUAUGGAAGUUACCAUAUUAUGCAUGUUACAAAUGGGGAUACCUAUAGCCUGUAUCUCCUAAGCAGAACACGAGAAGCAUCAGAUGAUGUGAAAACAAAAUUCAGUGAACUUGCUGGAACUCUGGGAUUUGAUGUGAACCAAAUAAUCUCUACACCCCUAGCAGAGUCAUGCCCAUAAUGUUACUAUGUAUAGCCUAACAUGGGGUUGCUGAAGUGAGUUGCAGCACAAUCCUAUUCAGGUCUACUCAGAACAAAAUUGCCUCCUGUGUUCAGUGUUGCUUACUCUCAG
This is a long non-coding RNA of Gekko japonicus, 553 nucleotides long. RefSeq lists it as uncharacterized. The record is from RefSeq and is a predicted model, not a curated record. NCBI's taxonomy places the organism in Eukaryota, Metazoa, Chordata, Lepidosauria, Squamata, Gekkonidae. The transcript has 6 exons.